ACCCGUCUUUUGACACGGACCAAGGAGUUUAGCAUAUGCGCGAGUCAUUGGGUGGUAAACCUAAAGGCGAAAUGAAAGUAAAGGUGGCUUUAGUGCUGUUGAUAUGGGAUCUGCAGGCUGCCUGCAGCGCACCAUAGCCCCGUCCUUGUUGCUUGCAAUAGGGCGGAGGUAGAGCGCAUACGCUGAGACCCGAAAGAUGGUGAACUAUGCCUGAGCAGGAUGAAGCCAGAGGAAACUCUGGUGGAAGUCCGAAGCGGUCUGACGGC
RNAcentral lists this ribosomal RNA (266 nucleotides) under Blattophila sphaerolaima. RNAcentral's name for it is "partial 28S ribosomal RNA". It matches the Rfam family "Eukaryotic large subunit ribosomal RNA", at positions 647 to 893 of the family's 3401-position model. The record is from RNAcentral. Lineage: Eukaryota; Metazoa; Nematoda; Chromadorea; Rhabditida; Thelastomatidae.